UACGUAGGUGGCAAGCGUUGUCCGGAUUUACUGGGCGUAAAGAGCGCGCAGGCGGUCGAGUAAGUCGAAUGUGAAAGCCCCCGGCUUAACUGGGGAGGGUCAUUCGAUACUGUUCGACUUGAAGGCAGGAGAGGGCAGCAGAAUUCCCGGUGUAGCAGUGAAAUGCGUAGAGAUCGGGAGGAACAUCCGUGGCGAAGGCGACUACCUGGACCAGCACUGACACUGAGGCACGAAAGCGUGGGGAGCAAACAGG
RNAcentral lists this ribosomal RNA (253 nucleotides) under uncultured bacterium. Its description in RNAcentral is "partial 16S ribosomal RNA". It matches the Rfam family "Bacterial small subunit ribosomal RNA", at positions 524 to 776 of the family's 1533-position model. The record is from RNAcentral.